Non-coding RNA from Caerostris darwini, 94 nucleotides. The record is from the annotation of a GenBank genome assembly. NCBI's taxonomy places the organism in Eukaryota, Metazoa, Arthropoda, Arachnida, Araneae, Araneidae.
CUGAAAUAUACCGGUUCUCGUUAGAUCACCGAAUAAGCAUCAUUGGGCGCGGUCAGUACUUGGGUGGGUGACCACCUGGGAAAACGUGCCGUUG